Osmerus eperlanus (European smelt) is the source of this 405-nucleotide long non-coding RNA. RefSeq lists it as uncharacterized. NCBI's taxonomy places the organism in Eukaryota, Metazoa, Chordata, Actinopteri, Osmeriformes, Osmeridae. The record is from RefSeq and is a predicted model, not a curated record. The transcript has 3 exons.
AGGCCCACAUAUCAGGAAAGCCAAUCGUGCAUGACGAGCACCACUAUGAACCGAAAUGGGUGGCAUCCAUAGCAGUACAAGUAAUUGUGUGCACUGAACCGAGUGGACCUCAUUUUCCAUCUGUGUGCACUGGAAGGCAUCGGGGUGCGACCGCUUCGGGACCAGUGAAAUGACACUGGGCCCGCAUCACACAGAAGGAACCUCGCCUCUCCACAGUGGAUCCAUCCACUAUUUGAGAGAAUAAAGAAAGCACGUUGCUGCCACCUGCUGGAGGGCACGGACUGAAAUAACUGGACACCGAUGAGCCUAACGGACAUACGACACCAAACAUAUGCAAUAAAUAUGGAUUUCUUCCGGGGCUCCAGAUUUCAGAUGUGUGAGACUCUAAACGCUGAUAAAAAGCGU